AUUGAACGCUGGCGGCAUGCCUUACACAUGCAAGUCGAACGGUAACGCGGGGCAACCUGGCGACGAGUGGCGAACGGGUGAGUAAUGUAUCGGAACGUGCCCAGUAGUGGGGGAUAGCCCGGCGAAAGCCGGAUUAAUACCGCAUACGACCUAAGGGUGAAAGGGGGGGAUCGCAAGACCUCUCGCUAUUGGAGCGGCCGAUGUCAGAUUAGGUAGUUGGUGGGGAAAAGGCCUACCAAGCCGACGAUCUGUAGCUGGUCUGAGAGGACGACCAGCCACACUGGGACUGAGAGACGGCCCAGACUCCUACGGGAGGCAGCAGUGGGGAAUUUUGGACAAUGGGCGCAAGCCUGAUCCAGCCAUGCCGCGUGCGGGAAGAAGGCCUUCGGGUUGUAAACCGCUUUUGUCAGGGAAGAAACGCUCUGGGUUAAUACCCUGGGGUAAUGACGGUACCUGAAGAAUAAGCACCGGCUAACUACGUGCCAGCAGCCGCCGUAA
RNAcentral lists this ribosomal RNA (498 nucleotides) under uncultured bacterium. RNAcentral describes it as "partial 16S ribosomal RNA". It matches the Rfam family "Bacterial small subunit ribosomal RNA", at positions 29 to 523 of the family's 1533-position model. The record is from RNAcentral.